AGUGAACGCUGGCGGUAGGCCUAACACAUGCAAGUCGAACGGCAGCACAGUAAGAGCUUGCUCUUACGGGUGGCGAGUGGCGGACGGGUGAGGAAUACAUCGGAAUCUACUUUUUCGUGGGGGAUAACGUAGGGAAACUUACGCUAAUACCGCAUACGACCUACGGGUGAAAGCAGGGGAUCUUCGGACCUUGCGCGAUUGAAUGAGCCGAUGUCGGAUUAGCUAGUUGGCGGGGUAAAGGCCCACCAAGGCGACGAUGCGUAGCUGGUCUGAGCGGGUGAUCAGCCACACUGGAACUGAGACACGGUCCAGACUCCUACGGGAGGCAGCAGUGGGGAAUAUUGGACAAUGGGCGCAAGCCUGAUCCAGCCAUACCGCGUGGGAGAAGAAGGCCUUCGGGUUGUAAAGCCCUUUUGUUGGGAAAGAAAAGCAGCAGGUUAAUACCCCGCUGUUCUGACGGUACCCAAAGAAUAAGCACCGGCUAACUUCGUG
Molecule: ribosomal RNA, 492 nt
Filed under: uncultured bacterium
Lineage: Bacteria
Description: partial 16S ribosomal RNA
Rfam family: Bacterial small subunit ribosomal RNA
Source: RNAcentral